Long non-coding RNA from Oryzias latipes (Japanese medaka), 1875 nucleotides. RefSeq lists it as uncharacterized. Lineage: Eukaryota; Metazoa; Chordata; Actinopteri; Beloniformes; Adrianichthyidae. The record is from RefSeq and is a predicted model, not a curated record.
CACACUCUUAAUGAGUGUCUACAAAAACAUUUUGAAGAUCUUUGAAACUGAGUCAGCUCUCUCUCAGCCCAUUUUACCUGAGAGCAGCACACCUUUCUCAGGGUUAUCAAACAGACUAUAUCUGAGGAAAAAAAUCCUAAAAUUGAGUGCUACUACCCUGCUGCAUUUUUAGGAAACCUUCAGUGCAAGACCUUGAAAUUCAUCACAUCUUGGCACGAGAGUUCAGAUAUUCUGGAAACAGCUCAGAUGAGAAGAUUUGGAAAAAAAGCUUGAGGAGAAAACAGAUUCCUUCACAGAGCUGUUGCACCGUUCAAAAUAGAGAUGACACACCCGUCUUACACGCCAAGGUGUUUAAAUGUCCUUGGGCAAGACACUGAACUUCAUUGGAAGGUUGGUGCCAGUGUUUGGCAGUGGAGCCGUCAUCAGUGUAAGAAUGGGUGAAUGGGUCUGUGACUUCAAAGGGCUUUGGGCCUUAGAAGAAAGAUAGAAAAGUGCUACACAAGUUUACACCAUUUACCAUUUCUAUGUGCUGGUGUAAGUGUGUGUUAAAGGUCAGAUACUAGCAUCUAAGUUUGUCAUUUUUGGAACAAUAGAGACACAAUUAUGUUGUGUUUUUCAGACUCUUUUUAGGGAUAAUGAUGAUAGACGAUGUCAUCCGUCUCCAGCUCUUGGGGCUUUUCCCCCCCAGCUAGGUGGUUGGCUUGGGGCAAUCAUGUCCUUUGAUUGCACUGCUCUGAAGGCCAUCUGGCAGCGUGCGGUGAAGCAGGUGGACAGCAGUAUGCUAUCCUGGAUUGCUUUCUAUUUAAUUGGCAGAUAGUGCAGAUUUUCCUUCUCUAGAGCAUUGUGUUGGAGAUGCUGCAAACAGAUCAGAGGACGACAAAGUCGCACGUUCACCUUUCAUAGAGUCUCCCCACAGCAGGCUUCAGACACACCUCAAGCUCAUGUCAUCGGCAGAAGUUUCUUUGACAGCUCUUUUGUUGGAGGACGUGCCAGAAGGACCAAAGAGAGGGGAGACGGUUCAUCUGCAACAGGCAAUUAGAGCUGCUGGAAAAUUGGUGUUAGCUCACUAACCUUUCCCCACCCGUUUAUUCCGUCAAUCGGAGAGAUGUGUCAUGGUGCCUCUGUCAGACUCCUCCCCCUCCUGCAGCUGCUCCUCUCCUAUCUACCACCGGCUGUCGUCACUCAUCUCAUCACCCUCUCAGCUCCAAAGGAAACCCAGCUCCACCAUUUGACGCCAGUUCGUUGCCCACUAUGGAAUUCUUCCCCACGAGUCACGUCAGUGUGGACCUACUACCUUACAGUCUUGAAGAACCGGAAGACCACUUGGAUUAUGCCGACCGCGUUUGUACCUCCAGCCACACCACAAGCCCUUCGCUGCUCCGGACCUCGCCACACCAAAAUCAUAACCAUUUCUGGAGAAAUAAUAAAUCAUUCUUACCUGCAAUUACCUGUCCUCAUUCUGGGUUCCAGCACCUGGGUUCGCCUCGCUCGGAAAUCAUGACUAGAUGAGGAAAAAACCGUGUCUUUCAAUUUGGACGUUACCACCCCUUGAUGGUGUGUCAUCAAUAGUCACUGGUGAGGUAUGUUAGCGCGAAGCCGCCAGAGUUUGGAAAAUGCAGAACAUUACUUUUAUAACUUUAAAAUGUCAUGCAACAACGCAAUACCUAGGUUUAAGUGUAAACUUCUGUGCUCCAGAGCACACCCUUGUGAAAAAAAUGUGUUUGUCCUCUGCAUAACAACGCAGAUCCCCCGACUGGUGAAGGGAUAGCCCGUUCUAAGUGUCUACAUGGCUCCUCUUUAAAAAAAACACUUUCAGACACCACUACAGCUUCAAAUGCAAUAGGAAGUAGUCAGAGGGGUAGGAACUCCACCAUG